CCGACUGUAAAAGAGCACCCUAGACUCCGAUCUAGGUAUCAAAAUGAAAUAGAAGACGAGAUGAAUGUUUUUAUAACUUUCGUUUGCCGUGAAACGGUCAGAGGUGUUCGGAAAGUUCGUCGACACCCAAGGCCUGGUUUCGACGGAAAGAGGACGUCGAAGCUUACAAGCUCUGGUCAACCCCAAAAAGUGACCAACACAUGUCAAAUAAACUACCAAAUUGAAGCCCAAGGGAAGAGGAAGAGAUCUAUACCAUUUUCAAGACAUGCCGUGGUCGGAGCUCGACGGAGUUUCGCCUUGGAACCCACGGUCCACACCGGAAACUGGGUUUUGGUUUUCUCCAAACUUUUGCACCGGUUUCCAUGGUGCUACCAUCCUUGUUUGCACUAGCAGAGGGAGAAGAAGAACGAGGGAGAUGAGGGAGUGCUGGUGUGUGUGUGUGUGAGUUCGGGGAAGAACCGAAAAAGGAAUGAGAG
RNAcentral lists this long non-coding RNA (476 nucleotides) under Malus domestica (apple). RNAcentral's name for it is "long non-coding RNA (MDOM_LNC008202)". Lineage: Eukaryota; Viridiplantae; Streptophyta; Magnoliopsida; Rosales; Rosaceae. The record is from RNAcentral.